AACGAGGUCGAGAAACAGAUUUAAACCAAGUGUGAAACAUUGCAUCUGUUUGCUAGUACUGUGACAAAACCCCGGAUAGCAGAAAGGUCUGGUUGCUAAAACCAACUCUCCUCUGGACCCGCUUUUUCGAACUCGAGUGAGACUGGACGCUGAACACACCUGCGGCGCGAAGGUUUACUGGUUCAGCUAGCUGCAGCCUGGACAGAAGUACCAGCUCUCACCUGACAAACCAAACAGGUGUCACCACUUUGUCCAUGGUUGCAGAGUGUCUUUGAACGAUGACAAAGUUCUUUGAGACUGGUACUGAGGCCUCCAGGAUUCAAACUUCAACCAUUAAAGCACAGACAAGAAACAGACGUGAAAACAUUUCCAGAAGGUCUUCAGCUGCUUCAGCUUCUCCUUCUGCAGAGACAAGAACAAUUAAUCACAUUUUUUGACAGUGUUUGACACUUACUAUACUAUGACGUGGCUUAAGACAAAGGAACAACCUAAAGUACCCAUCUUACCUUUGUUUUCCACAGAUACACACACCUCUAUACUAUUUAUGGGUUAGGUCAGAUUUAAAUUUUGCUAUUUCAAACAGUGCAAUGUCAGUACUCUUAUCUAUUACUGUGUACAUAGUCCUGUUUAUACUGUUCAUAUUGUGUGUAACUUGUAUAUAUUGUUUUAUAUCUUCUCUUGUAUAUGUAAUGCCCUUCUCUAUUUUUGCUGUUGCAACACUGAAUUUCCCUGUUGUGGGACUGAAAUCUUGCUCAAAUAAAUACUUCUGA
Long non-coding RNA from Lates calcarifer (barramundi perch), 770 nucleotides. RefSeq lists it as uncharacterized. NCBI's taxonomy places the organism in Eukaryota, Metazoa, Chordata, Actinopteri, Centropomidae. The record is from RefSeq and is a predicted model, not a curated record. The transcript has 5 exons.